RNAcentral lists this ribosomal RNA (857 nucleotides) under Triticum aestivum (bread wheat). RNAcentral's name for it is "partial small subunit ribosomal RNA". Lineage: Eukaryota; Viridiplantae; Streptophyta; Magnoliopsida; Poales; Poaceae. The record is from RNAcentral.
CGGCAAAGUAUUUUUUUAUUGAAAUAAACAGGACUAACAGUCCAAUUGCAGUGGCCAGAGAUGUUCGAAAGCCUUGGCAAAAUCAUCACUUGCGUUUUUUAUAGUCUGAUAAUAGUUCACGUAUGCCAUGUUCUAGUAGCCUGACAAUCUUCUCUGAAUAAAAAACAAAAUCCUUUGCCAUUCGGAGCGCAAAAUCCUUGCCGUUCCCAGCACGAAUGGAACAACAAAAUCGCAUACACAAAUCACCACAUACUAGAUCAUACAGAUAGGAAAUAUGACAAUCAUCUAUGGAGAAUUUGCCUUAAAACCUAUGGAGCACUACUAGAACCGGAUUGACCCCAUGGCCGACACGGCUAGCGGUGGCCGGUGCAGCACGACGCGCAAGGCGGCAGAGGGUGGGGUCGGGGCCGGCGGGGGCGAUGUCGUCGGGGCCGGGGCCAGCUAGGGCCAUGCGGUCGGGGUCGGGGCAGGGACCGGCGGCGGCGAUGGGGUCGGGGCCGACGAGGCGUGCAAGGAGACGGGGCCGGCGAGGCGCGCGAGGAGACGGGGCCGGCGAGGUGCGGCUGGCCUAGUCUCCAAGGCGACGGGGAUGGGACCGACGCCGGGGAGGUGUGGCUGGCCUGGUCGCCGGCUUCCUCCAGCGAGCUCCGACCGAGCAGCAAGCCAGCCAGCCAGGGUGCGGGCGCGGAGGAGAGGAGCUUGGGAACGGGGCGCCAUGGGUGGAUCCGAUGACGUGGUGGCCGGCGAGGUCGGGGCAAGGGCACCGGCUAGAUGUGGAUCGGAUCGGGAGUAAAGAGAGAUAAGAGAGAGAGAUUGCGGGGGUGAGAGAUAGAGGGGAUCGUGAGAAGAGAGAGAGG